Molecule: ribosomal RNA, 722 nt
Filed under: uncultured Thelephoraceae
Lineage: Eukaryota; Fungi; Basidiomycota; Agaricomycetes; Thelephorales; Thelephoraceae
Description: eukaryotic LSU rRNA
Rfam family: 5.8S ribosomal RNA (bases 175-329)
Source: RNAcentral
GUCCUCAAAUGGGGACAUGUGCACGCUCUGUUCACNCAUNNANUNNCACNUGUGCACCCUCUGUAGUUCCAUGGUCAGGGGGGCCUGUCCCCUCCUGCUAUGGUCCUGCGUCUUUACACACACACUGUAACAAAGUCUCAUGGAAUGCAUGCCGCGUUUAACGCAAUMCAAUACAACUUUCAGCAACGGAUCUCUUGGCUCUCGCAUCGAUGAAGAACGCAGCGAAAUGCGAUAAGUAAUGUGAAUUGCAGAAUUCAGUGAAUCAUCGAAUCUUUGAACGCACCUUGCGCCCUUUGGCCAUUCCGAAGGGCAUGCCUGUUUGAGUAUCAUGAACACCUCAACUCUUCAUGGUUUUCCAUGAUGAGCUUGGACUCUGGGGGUCUUGCUGGCCUGUGGUCAGCUCCUCUCAAAUGAAUCAGCUUGCCGGUGUUUGGUGGGCAUCACAGGUGUGAUAACUAUCUACGCUUGUGGUUUUCCACCAGGGUAACCUUCAGCAGUGGAGGUUCACUGGAGCUCACAAAUGUCUCUCCUCAGUGGGGACAGCCCUUUGAAUGUUUGAUCUCAAAUCAGGUAGGACUACCCGCUGAACUUAAGCAUAUCAAUAAGCGGAGGAAAAGAANCUAACNAGGAUUCCCCUAGUAACUGCGAGUGAAGCGGGAAGAGCUCAAAUUUAAAAUCUGGCGUGCCUCUGGUCGUCCNAGUUGUAGUCUGGAGAAGCGUUU